UCCCUGGUGGCUCAGAGGUUAAAGCUUCUGCCUGUAAUGCAGAAGACCUGGGUUUGAUCCUUGGGUUGGGAA
RNAcentral lists this transfer RNA (72 nucleotides) under Bos taurus (domestic cattle). It matches the Rfam family "tRNA". Rfam says of the family: Transfer RNA (tRNA) molecules are approximately 80 nucleotides in length. Lineage: Eukaryota; Metazoa; Chordata; Mammalia; Artiodactyla; Bovidae. The record is from Rfam by way of RNAcentral. RNAcentral also lists the same sequence under 2 other names.